This is a long non-coding RNA of Ahaetulla prasina, 2675 nucleotides long. RefSeq lists it as uncharacterized. Lineage: Eukaryota; Metazoa; Chordata; Lepidosauria; Squamata; Colubridae. The record is from RefSeq and is a predicted model, not a curated record. The transcript is spliced from 4 exons.
UCCUGGCUGCCUGCUAUUCCUCAGCUGGGGCUGGGGCUGGGGCUGCUGCUGCUCCCUGCGUGAAAAGGGCAACAGCAGCCGCCUCGCCUGGGAGGACCAGCUGAGCGGGGCUCGCAAAUGAGACUCGCCAGCCAGCCAAGCAAGCAAGCAAGCCUUUCUAUGUGCGGAAGAAGAAGAAGCUGAUGACACCACUGCAUGGAUGAUUUUACAUAAUUUACACAUCCUAGAUUCGCAAAAAGCAAUUAUCAUUGUGAAGUAUUUACACUGAUUUAUGGGCAGAAGGAAGCCUAGGAAAGGGAUGCUGAUGUUAUCAACACAGUGGAUUAAGCACACAUUUGCACCUUUAUUGACAUAUAAUUUAUCCAUGCCAAGAAUGCAAUGAGCAGAAGAAUGCUGCUGGAGCAAUGAAGAAGAUGCUACUGGAGCAAUGAUGUGUCACAGGCUAUUAGAUAUGGAUUCCGUCUGGCCAUUCCCCUAUAAAGCACAUCAAUGGAAUUCUACAUCUGAGCUAAAAUAGAAGAUAACAACAUGUACAAUGUUUGUCUGUUGAGACAAUUAGAAGCGAUGGCACACCAGAGUUCCGAAAGGAUUAUAAAAGACAAGGGAGAGAAUUGAAGAUUAUAUAUUUUUUAAAUUUCUCAUUAAUAUUUUCUUACUUAUACUGUGGAUUUUGAGGAAAACGGAUUUCAGGAAACCCAAGGAAUUUUAUUACUGGGAAAUGGAAUCUGGAUUGGAAUCUAGCCAGCACAAAAAACAAAAGCCUGUGACCCAUGGACUAGAAGAUCAAAAAAGAAUACAGUCCUCAACUUACAACUGUAAUUGGGACUGGAAUUUUGGUUACUAAGUGAUGUGGUUGUAAAGCAAGAUAUCACGUGACUGCAUUGCUAAGUGAUGGCAAUCCCAGCAUCCCCUGUUGCCAUUGCUAAGUAAAUUUUAUUCAUUUUUAACUGAAGACCUUUCCCAAUCCAAGCUAUUCCAGGCUUGGGUCUUCCCAGUCCGAAGCCUCAGUAAGAUGUAUCAGAUGACUGAAUAUACAGUGUGUAUUCUUCUGUGACGCUGGAUAGUGUAAUUUUCUUUUGUAAGAUUACAGCCCAUUUAAAUUGCCCAUUGCAAAUCAAUUCCUACAGUGCAAUUUAAUGAAACCUUUUGUCAGCAAUUAAGAUUACUAAUCUAAUAACAUUUUUACAUUACAGUCAUGGCUAAGGCUGGAUCUCUUUUUAAACUGAAGAAAAUGCAGUGUGCAUUUUGAUAACAUUUAUAUCUUUAAAUACUUUUUAAUUUAGUAUUAUUAUUUAGUCAAAUACUUGUAUUUGCUACAAUUGCAUACAGUAUUUCCUUUUAUUCAAAUUUUAUUAAAACAUAGUUACAUCAUGAAUAAAGUAGAAUUUAUUUCAUGAAAACUCUGAAUCUAGAGGUCCUUUUAUAAAAAGUGACUUAGGCCUAUGAUUAUUUAUGAAGCAAAAUAGCAUUCUCAGUUAUAAUCAUGAGCUGAAGAAGCUUCUUGGAUGAGAAGUGAAACUUCUUCAAAGAAAAACCAGAAAGUUCAAUUGCCUCUUGAAAAGAGCAUCUCUGGAACAAUACUAAUCAUGUUUUAGAGACCUGUAGUAUGAGAAUUCAUCCCAUUUCCUCAUCAUUGCAAAAUCAUGUAGCUCUUGAUUGAUCUCAGUUCAUCUUGGAGAAGAAGCUCAAAUCACCUGUUUAGCUCAGGCUGGUAAAGCCUGUUAUUAAGAACACAAAGCCUGCAAUUACUGCAGGUUCAAGCCCGGCCCAAGGUUGACUCAGCCUUCCAUCCUUUAUAAGGUAGGUAAAAUGAGGACCCAGAUUUUUUUGGGGGGCAAUAAGUUGACUUUGUAAAAAAUAUACAAAUAGAAUGAGACUAUUGCCUUAUACACUGUAAGCCGCCCUGAGUCUUCGGAGAAGGGCGGGGUAUAAAUGUAAACAAAAAAAAAAACUUGUCCUCCAUAUGCUUUUUUGUGAGUCUAUGAUUGGCAAUUGAAGUCCCAUGACUGCAAUCUUUUCAUUGCCUUGGAAAAAUAAUCCUGAAAAAAGAUUUAGGUGGAAACAGCAUUGUGGCGUUAUGAUGUUUUGCUCCUUUCCUAUGAUAUUUCAAUGCUACAUGUAUAUUCAAAAGGAAGAUUCACAAUAGCAUUUCAUCAUUAUUAUCAGAUAAUAAUUAUCAGAGGAUAAUUAGAACUGCAGAAAAAAUAAUUGCUACCAAUCUGCUUUCCAUUGAGGACCUGUAUACUGCACGAAUCAAGAAGAGGGCCAUGAAAAUAUUUACAGAUCCCUCACAUCCAGGACAUCAACUGUUUCAACUCCUACCCUCAAAACGACGCUAUAGAGCACUGCACACCAGAACAACUAGACACAAGAACGGUUUUUUCCCAAAGGCCAUCACUCUGCUAAACAAAUAAUUCCAUCAACAUUGUCAAACUAUUUACUAAAUCUGCACUACUAUUAAUCUUCUUAUCGUUCCCAUCACCAAUCUCUUUCCACUUAUGACUGUAUGACUGUAACUUUGUUGCUGGCAAUCCUUAUGAUUUAUAUUGAUAUAUUGACCAUCAAUUGUGUUGUAAAUGUUGUACCUUGAUGAGUGUAUCUUGUCUUUUUAUGUACACUGAGAGCAUAUGCAUCAAGACAAAUUCCUUGUGUGUCCAAUCACACUUGGCCAAUAA